GGGGAUGUGGCUCAAGCGGUAGGGCACUCGCCUAGCAUGCGUGCGGCCCGGGUUCGAUCCUCAGCAGCACCA
This is a non-coding RNA of Ictidomys tridecemlineatus (thirteen-lined ground squirrel), 72 nucleotides long. The record is from Rfam. Lineage: Eukaryota; Metazoa; Chordata; Mammalia; Rodentia; Sciuridae.